CGAGCGGAGGAUGGGUGCCUGAUGCUUGGGAACAUGCCUUGAGGUGGGGGACAACAGUUGGAAACGACUGCUAAUACCGCAUAAUGUCUACGGACCAAAGGGGGCUUCGGCUCUCGCCUUUAGAUUGGCCCAAGUGGGAUUAGCUAGUUGGUGAGGUAAUGGCUCACCAAGGCGACGAUCCCUAGCUGGUUUGAGAGGAUGAUCAGCCACACUGGGACUGAGACACGGCCCAGACUCCUACGGGAGGCAGCAGUGGGGAAUAUUGCACAAUGGGCGCAAGCCUGAUGCAGCCAUGCCGCGUGUGUGAAGAAGGCCUUCGGGUUGUAAAGCACUUUCAGUCAGGAGGAAAGGUUAGUAGUUAAUACCUGCUAGCUGUGACGUUACUGACAGAAGAAGCACCGGCUAACUCCGUGCCAGCAGCCGCGGUAAUACGGAGGGUGCGAGCGUUAAUCGGAAUUACUGGGCGUAAAGCGUACGCAGGCGGUUUGUUAAGCGAGAUGUGAAAGCCCCGGGCUCAACCUGGGAACUGCAUUUCGAACUGGCAAACUAGAGUGUGAUAGAGGGUGGUAGAAUUUCAGGUGUAGCGGUGAAAUGCGUAGAGAUCUGAAGGAAUACCGAUGGCGAAGGCAGCCACCUGGGUCAACACUGACGCUCAUGUACGAAAGCGUGGGGAGCAAACGGGAUUAGAUACCCCGGUAGUCCACGCCGUAAACGAUGUCUACUAGAAGCUCGGAACCUCGGUUCUGUUUUUCAAAGCUAACGCAUUAAGUAGACCGCCUGGGGAGUACGGCCGCAAGGUUAAAACUCAAAUGAAUUGACGGGGGCCCGCACAAGCGGUGGAGCAUGUGGUUUAAUUCGAUGCAACGCGAAGAACCUUACCUACACUUGACAUACAGAGAACU
Molecule: ribosomal RNA, 902 nt
Filed under: Pseudoalteromonas sp. TB6
Lineage: Bacteria; Pseudomonadati; Pseudomonadota; Gammaproteobacteria; Alteromonadales; Pseudoalteromonadaceae
Description: bacterial SSU rRNA
Rfam family: Bacterial small subunit ribosomal RNA
Source: RNAcentral